This 411-nucleotide long non-coding RNA is filed under the name Nicotiana benthamiana. Its description in RNAcentral is "long non-coding RNA (NBEN_LNC026838)". Lineage: Eukaryota; Viridiplantae; Streptophyta; Magnoliopsida; Solanales; Solanaceae. The record is from RNAcentral.
GGAAUAACAACUUUAGAUCACCUAGAACGCAUUUGGCUCAACCCAGACAUAUGCACAAUCCUAAUGUCAUAUGUCAUUAUUGUAACCGGGUAGGACACAUUGCGCCCGUAUGUUUUGCUAAACAUAGAGAUUCAUAUUUUGAUUAUGAUUAGUAUUUGCCUAACCCCCAAGGACCCAAACGAAGUUGGGUACCGAAAACCUAUUUUUAGGUACUUUUGCAGGUGUGCUUGAAGACUACAAUAUUGUAGUAGAUGCACCAAGCACGAAACCUUACNUACGUUUGCAGGUGUGCUUGAAGACUACAAAAUCGUAGUAGAUGCACCAAGCACGAAACCUUAUUGCAUCAAGGGGGAAUUUCGGUUAGUUAUCGUAUGGUUGAUAAAAACGUAAUAGUUGAUAUGUGCUAACAAU